GACUUAAUGCAUAUGAAUGUAUAUGGCAUGUACGACUUGAAACUCAACAACAUACGAAUAACAGCAACACAACAGCUUUUUCAACAAAACAACUCAUAAUCAACUUUGGCUCAUCAGCCUACAACUCAGUAUUUUCAACAAAACAACUUAUAUUCAGCUUUGGCUCAUCAGCCUACAACUCAGGAUUUUCAACAAAACAACUUAUCAACAUUUUUGCAUCAACAUUUCACAACAUAAACCCAACAAAUUGAUUCAUCACAAUUAACU
RNAcentral lists this long non-coding RNA (267 nucleotides) under Lathyrus oleraceus (garden pea). Its description in RNAcentral is "Pisum sativum (pea) long non-coding RNA (PSAT_LNC036928)". Lineage: Eukaryota; Viridiplantae; Streptophyta; Magnoliopsida; Fabales; Fabaceae. The record is from RNAcentral.